This 77-nucleotide transfer RNA is filed under the name Bacteroidota bacterium. RNAcentral's name for it is "Bacteroidetes bacterium (freshwater sediment metagenome) tRNA-Ala". It matches the Rfam family "tRNA". Rfam says of the family: Transfer RNA (tRNA) molecules are approximately 80 nucleotides in length. The record is from RNAcentral. Lineage: Bacteria; Pseudomonadati; Bacteroidota.
GGGGGUAUAGCUCAGUUGGCUAGAGCACUUGCAUGGCAUGCAAGGGGUCGUCGGUUCGAAUCCGACUAUCUCCACUA